GAUGAACGCUGGCGGCGUGCCUAAUACAUGCAAGUCGAGCGAACGGACGAGAAGCUUGCUUCUCUGAUGUUAGCGGCGGACGGGUGAGUAACACGUGGAUAACCUACCUAUAAGACUGGGAUAACUUCGGGAAACCGGAGCUAAUACCGGAUAAUAUUUUGAACCGCAUGGUUCAAAAGUGAAAGACGGUCUUGCUGUCACUUAUAGAUGGAUCCGCGCUGCAUUAGCUAGUUGGUAAGGUAACGGCUUACCAAGGCAACGAUGCAUAGCCGAGCUGAGAGGGUGAUCGCCCACACGAGAACUGAGCCACGGUCCAGACUCCUACGGGAGGCAGCAGUAGCGAAUCGGCCGCAGUGGGCGAAAGCCUGACGGAACAACCCCGCGUCAGUUAUAAAGGUCUUCGGAGCGUAAAACUCUCCUAUUAGGGAAGAACAUAUGUGUAAGUAACUGUGCCCAUCUUGACGGUACCUAAUCAGAAAGCCACGGCUAACUACGUG
RNAcentral lists this ribosomal RNA (497 nucleotides) under uncultured bacterium. Its description in RNAcentral is "partial 16S ribosomal RNA". It matches the Rfam family "Bacterial small subunit ribosomal RNA", at positions 28 to 507 of the family's 1533-position model. The record is from RNAcentral.